UAAUAGUGUAUAUUAAAGUUGUUGCAGUUAAAAAGCUCGUAGUUGAAUGUUGGUGUCGAACGAGCGGUCAGCUUCGGCUGUACUGCUCUCUCGACUCCUUCCUUCUGUGGACUACGUCGCACUUUACUGUGUGGCGCUAGGACGCAGAUCGUUUACUGUGAAAAAAUUAGAGUGUUCAAAGCAGGCCGUACGCUUGAAUACAUUAGCAUGGAAUAAUGGAAUAGGACGUCGGGCCUAUUUUGUUGGUUCUAGGACCGUCGUAAUGAUUAAUAGGGACAGUUGGGGCCGUUUAUAUUCCGUAGUCAGAGGUGAAAUUCUUGGAUUUACGGAAGAUAAACUACUGCGAAAGCAUUCUGCAAGGAUGUUUUCGUUAA
RNAcentral lists this ribosomal RNA (374 nucleotides) under uncultured eukaryote. RNAcentral describes it as "partial 18S ribosomal RNA". It matches the Rfam family "Eukaryotic small subunit ribosomal RNA", at positions 592 to 976 of the family's 1831-position model. The record is from RNAcentral.